GACGAGCCACACAAACGUUAUUCGGAAUUACUGGGCUUAAAGGGUGCGUAGGCGGUGCGGAAAGUCGGGUGUGAAAUCCCUCAGCUUAACUGAGGAACUGCGCCCGAUACUACCGUGCUAGAGGGAGAUAGAGGAAUGCGGAACUUAGGGUGGAGCGGUGAAAUGCGUUGAUAUCCUAGGGAACACCGGUGGCGAAAGCGGCAUUCUGGAUCUCUUCUGACGCUGAGGCACGAAAGCUAGGGUAGCAAAC
Molecule: ribosomal RNA, 250 nt
Filed under: uncultured bacterium
Lineage: Bacteria
Description: partial 16S ribosomal RNA
Rfam family: Bacterial small subunit ribosomal RNA
Source: RNAcentral